This 90-nucleotide small nucleolar RNA is filed under the name Tetranychus urticae (two-spotted spider mite). Its description in RNAcentral is "snoRNA tetur05g09305". Lineage: Eukaryota; Metazoa; Arthropoda; Arachnida; Trombidiformes; Tetranychidae. The record is from RNAcentral.
GGAAGGUGAUGAAGCCAAAUAUAUUAAUAAAACUGUGAUAGUCGGAGUAAAUGAACCUGAAUAUUUGAGUCUACUAAAACCACCGAUUCC